This 240-nucleotide unclassified non-coding RNA is filed under the name soil metagenome. Its description in RNAcentral is "partial contains 5.8S ribosomal RNA, internal transcribed spacer 2, and large subunit ribosomal RNA". The record is from RNAcentral.
AACCUUAUGGACCUGCGGGCGUAUACCUGCGGAAGGAUCAUUAUUGAAAUACAUUUGGUUAGGUUGCUGCUGGCUUUUAGGAGCAUGUGCACACCUAUUCCAUCUUUAAUCCCCUGUGCACUUUGUAUUUGGCCUGAAUACUUUUCGAGUAACCAAGUUUUGGACUCGGCCUGAGAACUGCUGUGUUGAAAUAGUCAGCCCAGCUUUUCUUGUUUUUUCAGGUCUGUAUUUUUAUACACC